This 424-nucleotide ribosomal RNA is filed under the name Verrucomicrobiota bacterium. Its description in RNAcentral is "Verrucomicrobia bacterium partial 16S ribosomal RNA". It matches the Rfam family "Bacterial small subunit ribosomal RNA", at positions 355 to 776 of the family's 1533-position model. Lineage: Bacteria; Pseudomonadati; Verrucomicrobiota. The record is from RNAcentral.
UGAGGAAUAUUGGUCAAUGGGCGAGAGCCUGAACCAGCCAAGUCGCGUGAAGGAAGACUGCCCGCAAGGGUUGUAAACUUCUUUUGUAUGGGAUUAAAGUCGUCUACGUGUAGGCGUUUGCAGUUACCAUACGAAUAAGCAUCGGCUAACUCCGUGCCAGCAGCCGCGGUAAUACGGAGGAUGCGAGCGUUAUCCGGAAUUAUUGGGCGUAAAGCGAGCGCAGGCGGUUAGAAAAGUCUGAAGUGAAAGGCAGUGGCUCAACCAUUGUAGGCUUUGGAAACUGUUUAACUUGAGUGCAGAAGGGGAGAGUGGAAUUCCAUGUGUAGCGGUGAAAUGCGUAGAUAUAUGGAGGAACACCGGUGGCGAAAGCGGCUCUCUGGUCUGUAACUGACGCUGAGGCUCGAAAGCGUGGGGAGCGAACAGG